RNAcentral lists this long non-coding RNA (303 nucleotides) under Ananas comosus (pineapple). RNAcentral describes it as "long non-coding RNA (ACOM_LNC034067)". Lineage: Eukaryota; Viridiplantae; Streptophyta; Magnoliopsida; Poales; Bromeliaceae. The record is from RNAcentral.
AAUAGUCCCACAUCGGAUAGGAAUAGGGUUGUCAUUGGGUUUAUAAGAGAAUUAGACACUAGUAAUAAUAACUGGGCUUAAGCAUUUUGGGCUGUGGUUGGGCCCAACGAGUUAUUAUUGCUAGUGGGUUGGGUCGUUACAACAACUACGUUUACAAAUUUUCUAACUGAACCGUUGGUUAGGUUGACCCAUAGGAAGACCUAAGGCAUGUAGGCACGCGAGUGCUGGGUUUUGGGAUUGAGUCCCGGUGUGUACGUAUGUCGAGUUGAAUGGUUCGCUUGACGGUGUUUUCUGUUGCAGAUG